UACGGGGGGGGCAAGCGUUGUUCGGAAUUACUGGGCGUAAAGGGUUUGUAGGUGGCUUGCUAAGUCAGACGUGAAAUCCCUCAGCUUAACUGGGGAACUGCGUCUGAGACUGGCGAGCUUGAGUGCAGGAGAGGAACGCGGAAUUCCAGGUGUAGCGGUGAAAUGCGUAGAUAUCUGGAGGAACACCGGUGGCGAAGGCGGCGUUCUGGACUGCAACUGACACUGAGGCACGAAGGCCAGGGGAGCAAACGGG
Molecule: ribosomal RNA, 253 nt
Filed under: uncultured bacterium
Lineage: Bacteria
Description: partial 16S ribosomal RNA
Rfam family: Bacterial small subunit ribosomal RNA
Source: RNAcentral